This 286-nucleotide signal recognition particle RNA is filed under the name Saimiri boliviensis boliviensis (Bolivian squirrel monkey). RNAcentral's name for it is "Metazoan signal recognition particle RNA (ENSSBOG00000003670.1)". It matches the Rfam family "Metazoan signal recognition particle RNA". Rfam says of the family: The signal recognition particle (SRP) is a universally conserved ribonucleoprotein. It is involved in the co-translational targeting of proteins to membranes. The eukaryotic SRP consists of a 300-nucleotide 7S RNA and six proteins: SRPs 72, 68, 54, 19, 14, and 9. Lineage: Eukaryota; Metazoa; Chordata; Mammalia; Primates; Cebidae. The record is from RNAcentral.
GCUGGGUGUGGUGGCGCUCACCUGUGGUCUCAGCUACUCUCGAGGCUGAGGCGGGAGGACCGCUUGAGCCUGUGAGUUCUGGGCUGUAGUAAGCUUUGCUGAUCCAGGGUUCACAUCAAUGUAGUGACCUCCCUGGACUGGCAGGACCAGCAGGUUGCCUAAGGAGGGAUGAACCCAUCCACAUCAGAAACAAAGCAGGGCAAAACUCCUAAGCUGAUCUCAUCUGGGAUCACACCUGUGAAUAGCCACUGCACCCAGCUGGGCAACACAGGGAGACCCUGUGGCU